RNAcentral lists this small RNA (825 nucleotides) under Pan troglodytes (chimpanzee). RNAcentral's name for it is "processed transcript". The record is from RNAcentral. Lineage: Eukaryota; Metazoa; Chordata; Mammalia; Primates; Hominidae.
GGUCGGCUGGGGAGGCAAAUGUUGGGAGAAGCAGAAAGCUGGAGGGGGACCUUGUGCAGGGGCCUUCGAGGCCAUAGACUUGAGGUGAUUGUCAGCUUGUUCAGUUCUUGAUAGAAUCCUUCUGAUCCCUUAGGAUUUUGGAAGAGCGGUCUGAGAGACGACUGCUACCCUGGCCUUAGCAGCCUUCCCUGGUACCUCUUCCCAUCGCUGGCCGGCCUCACACCGAAUCUGGCCUCUCUUUGGACCUUCCUCCUCCUUUUUUUUGAUUCAGAGAAAUGUAUAUUCUGGGGCCUUGAUGCUGCGUUUUUCGGGGAGAUGGCUUCUUGGGGCUGGCAGAGGUUGAGGCGGUAUGGCCGCUGUCAUGUCGUCCAGACCAUUCAGACUGUCUUCUGUGGGUCCUUGUGUUUCGGGUAUUUUCUCUGCCACCAACUCUGAUGGCACAUAGGCGGAAUGUGCUCAUAUCGUGGGUCAGGAUGUCUAGAGUAGUGAUGUUUGCAGGAAUCUGAAUUUUGUCGAAAUUUAUAUAGAAUGCUUAGGUUCACUCCAAGUUAAAAUGUGUGAUGUGCCUGUUCUGCAAGCAGUUGUCAACAGUAUUAAGCAUAGGUAUCGUCAGAUCCUGGAAAAAGCCAUUCAGUUAUCUGGAGCAGAACAACUAGAAGCUUUGAAAGCUUUUGUGGAAGCAAUGGUAAAUGAGAAUGUCAGUCUCGUGAUCUCGCGGCAGUUGCUGACUGAUUUUUGCACACAUCUUCCUAACUUGCCUGAUAGCACAGCCAAAGAAAUCUAUCACUUCACCUUGGAAAAGAUCCAGCCUAGAGUCAUUUCAUU